This is a long non-coding RNA of Oncorhynchus masou masou (cherry salmon), 1733 nucleotides long. RefSeq lists it as uncharacterized. NCBI's taxonomy places the organism in Eukaryota, Metazoa, Chordata, Actinopteri, Salmoniformes, Salmonidae. The transcript is spliced from 2 exons. The record is from RefSeq and is a predicted model, not a curated record.
CUUAAAAUAUUUUGCUCCCUCUUUCAAAAUAUAAUUUGGUAAAUGCACGGUAGAUAUUACAUAAAAAAUCAGUCCAUUUCCAGCUACAAUAGUAAUUUACAACAUUAAAAAUGUAUACACUGUACUUCUGAUAAAUUUGAUGUUAUUUUAAUGGACAAAAAAAUGUGCUUUUCUUUUAAAAACAAGGACAUUUCUAAGUGACCCCAAACUUUUGAACGGUAGUGUAUAAAAAAAACAGAAAUACCUAAUUUACGUAAGUAUUCAGACAUUUUGCUUAUGAGACUCGAAAUUGAGCUCAGGUGCAUCCUGUUUCCAUUGAACAUCCUUGAAAUGUUUCUACAACUUGGUGUCCACCUGUGCUAAAUUCAAUUGAUUGAACAUGUUUUGGAAACGCACACACCUGUCUACAGUUGACAGUGCAUGUCAGGGCCAAAACGAAGCCAUGAGGUCAUAUGAAUUUUCGGUAGCGCUCCAAGACAGGAUUGUGUUGAGGCACAAAUUGGGGAAGGUAUCAAAGCAUUCUUUGCAGCAUUGAAGGUCCCCAAGAACACAGUGGCCUCCAUCAUUCUGAAAUGGAAGAAGUUUGGAACAAGGGUUUUUCUUUAUUGUUGACUAUUUUCUACAUUGUAGAAUAUUAUUUCUCUCUUUUUGUAGAGAAAAACGAAUUUUGAUUGGCUGGGCCUGUUGCCAGUCAUAUAAAAUCCACAGAUUAGGGCUAAUGAAUUCAUUUCAAUUGAUUGAUUUACUUAUAUGAACUGCAACUCAGAACCGUUAAUUGUUGCAUGUUGCGUUUAUUAUAAAAUAAUUCCAAUCCCCGAAGGCAAAUGCAGUUUAGCGAUGUAAAAGGACUGACUUUAGGACCAUGUAGAUACCUGGGAGCGGGAGGGAAGGCUGUUUGUAUGCCGGCGGGCGGACUGGCUUUAUGGAUAUCUCAUCGAAACAGCAUUACUUUUUCUCCAAGCAGUGCAGAGGUAAAAUGGCUGUAGUAGAUGGCUUUGAGUAUGUAGGGUAACUGCUAGUUUAGUCAAAUCAAACCGUUUUAAUCCCGGUGCUGAGCUAGUUAAUUAUUUAAUGACAUGAGUUUGUGGAAUAUUAAGUAGGUGACUAUUAGACUAUUUUAGAACCCAGAGAGUGAAAUACUUACCUCCAACAUAUAGCGCAGCAUUGUCGAACAGUCAGAAUGUUUAAUUUCGUUUUACUUUACAUGUUGUCAGCUGAUUUGUCUCCAUUUCGGAGGUAAUCAGAGACAAAAUAUCCACAGGAAAGUGUUAUCAACCCGACCUUCAGUACGCUGGUCUGUUUUAUUGGUUUGCAAUUCGCACUGUGACAAACACUUGCAAGAUAUGGCUGAGCCUACAGAACCACCGACUGAAAGUUGGCCCAUGCAAUCAGCAGGCAUACUUAUUUCAGACUGAAUAUUAUAUGGUAACAGUCUGAUUGUCACGACUUCCGCCGAAGUCGGUCCCUCUCCUUGUUCGGCUGUCGACGUUACCGACCUUCUGCCAUCACUGAUCCAUUGGUCUUGUCUUCCUUCACACCUGGUUCCAAUCCCAUCAAUUACAUGUUGUGUAUUUAACCCUCUGUUCCCCCUCAUGUCCUUGUCGGAGACUUAUUAUUGUGUGUUAUGUGCAAGUCAUGUGUCGAUGUGUGACACGUUUUGUACCCACUUAUUUUUGUAUAUUUUGGUUUUUGGAGUUUUAUUAGCACUUAUUAAACGACACCGUUUAUACCAA